UGGGGAAUUUUGGACAAUGGGCGAAAGCCUGAUCCAGCAAUGCCGCGUGUGUGAAGAAGGCCUUCGGGUUGUAAAGCACUUUUGUCCGGAAAGAAAUCCUUGGCUCUAAUACAGUCGGGGGAUGACGGUACCGGAAGAAUAAGCACCGGCUAACUACGUGCCAGCAGCCGCGGUAAUACGUAGGGUGCAAGCGUUAAUCGGAAUUACUGGGCGUAAAGCGUGCGCAGGCGGUUUGCUAAGACCGAUGUGAAAUCCCCGGGCUCAACCUGGGAACUGCAUUGGUGACUGGCAGGCUAGAGUAUGGCAGAGGGGGGUGGAAUUCCACGUGUAGCAGUGAAAUGCGUAGAGAUGUGGAGGAAUACCGAUGGCGAAGGCAGCCCCCUGGGCCAAUACUGACGCUCAUGCACGAAAGCGUGGGGGGCAAACAGGAUUAGAUACCCUGGUAGUCCACGCCCUAAACGAUGUCAACUAGUUGUUGGGGAUUCAUUUCCUUAGUAACGUAGCUAACGCGUGAAGUUGACCGCCUGGGGAGUACGGUCGUCAAGCUUAAAACUUAAAUGAAUUGACGGGGUCAA
This 575-nucleotide ribosomal RNA is filed under the name uncultured bacterium. RNAcentral describes it as "partial 16S ribosomal RNA". It matches the Rfam family "Bacterial small subunit ribosomal RNA", at positions 355 to 922 of the family's 1533-position model. The record is from RNAcentral.